AGAGUUUGAUCCUGGCUCAGAUUGAACGCUGGCGGCAUGCUUUACACAUGCAAGUCGGACGGCAGCACAGAGAAGCUUGCUUCUCGGGUGGCGAGUGGCGAACGGGUGAGUAACAUAUCGGAACGUACCGAGUAGUGGGGGAUAACUGAUCGAAAGAUCAGCUAAUACCGCAUACGUCUUGAGAGAGAAAGCAGGGGACCUUUGGGCCUUGCGCUAUUCGAGCGGCCGAUAUCUGAUUAGCUAGUUGGUGGGGUAAAGGCCUACCAAGGCGACGAUCAGUAGCGGGUCUGAGAGGAUGAUCCGCCACACUGGGACUGAGACACGGCCCAGACUCCUACGGGAGGCAGCAGUGGGGAAUUUUGGACAAUGGGCGCAAGCCUGAUCCAGCCAUGCCGCGUGUCUGAAGAAGGCCUUCGGGUUGUAAAGGACUUUUGUCAGGGAAGAAAAGGCUGUUGCUAAUAUCAGCGGCUGAUGACGGUACCUGAAGAAUAAGCACCGGCUAACUACGUGCCAGCAGCCGCGGUAAUACGUAGGGUGCGAGCGUUAAUCGGAAUUACUGGGCGUAAAGCGGGCGCAGACGGUUACUUAAGCAGGAUGUGAAAUCCCCGGGCUCAACCCGGGAACUGCGUUCUGAACUGGGUGACUCGAGUGUGUCAGAGGGAGGUAGAAUUCCACGUGUAGCAGUGAAAUGCGUAGAGAUGUGGAGGAAUACCGAUGGCGAAGGCAGCCUCCUGGGACAACACUGACGUUCAUGCCCGAAAGCGUGGGUAGCAAACAGGAUUAGAUACCCUGGUAGUCCACGCCCUAAACGAUGUCAAUUAGCUGUUGGGCAACUUGAUUGCUUAGUAGCGUAGCUAACGCGUGAAAUUGACCGCCUGGGGAGUACGGUCGCAAGAUUAAAACUCAAAGGAAUUGACGGGGACCCGCACAAGCGGUGGAUGAUGUGGAUUAAUUCGAUGCAACGCGAAGAACCUUACCUGGUCUUGACAUGUACGGAAUCCUCCAGAGACGGAGGAGUGCCUUCGGGAGCCGUAACACAGGUGCUGCAUGGCUGUCGUCAGCUCGUGUCGUGAGAUGUUGGGUUAAGUCCCGCAACGAGCGCAACCCUUGUCAUUAGUUGCCAUCAUUCAGUUGGGCACUCUAAUGAGACUGCCGGUGACAAGCCGGAGGAAGGUGGGGAUGACGUCAAGUCCUCAUGGCCCUUAUGACCAGGGCUUCACACGUCAUACAAUGGUCGGUACAGAGGGUAGCCAAGCCGCGAGGCGGAGCCAAUCUCACAAAACCGAUCGUAGUCCGGAUUGCACUCUGCAACUCGAGUGCAUGAAGUCGGAAUCGCUAGUAAUCGCAGGUCAGCAUACUGCGGUGAAUACGUUCCCGGGUCUUGUACACACCGCCCGUCACACCAUGGGAGUGGGGGAUACCAGAAGUAGGUAGGGUAACCGCAAGGAGUCCGCUUACCACGGUAUGCUUCAUGACUGGGGUGAAGUCGUAACAAGGUAGCCGUAGGGGAACCUGCGGCUGGAUCACCU
This 1529-nucleotide ribosomal RNA is filed under the name Neisseria meningitidis NM126. Its description in RNAcentral is "bacterial SSU rRNA". It matches the Rfam family "Bacterial small subunit ribosomal RNA". The record is from RNAcentral. Lineage: Bacteria; Pseudomonadati; Pseudomonadota; Betaproteobacteria; Neisseriales; Neisseriaceae.